CAUAUGGAUUCCUACGGGAGGCAGCAGUCGAGAAUAAUUCACAAUGGGGGCAACCCUGAUGGUGCAACGCCGCGUGGAGGAUGACGGUCUUCGGAUUGUAAACUCCUGUCAUCUGGGAGUAAGACCUGGGCAUUAAUAGUGCACAGGGUUGAUAGUACCAGAAGAGGAAGGGACGGCUAACUUCGUGCCAGCAGCCGCGGUAAUACGAAGGUCCCGAGCGUUGUUCGGAAUCACUGGGCGUAAAGGGAGCGUAGGCGGCGUGGUAAGUCAGAUGUGAAAUCCCGGGGCUCAACCCCGGAACUGCAUCCGAUACUGCCGUGCUAGAGUAAUGGAGAGGUAGCUGGAAUUCACGGUGUAGCAGUGAAAUGCGUAGAUAUCGUGAGGAACACUCGUGGCGAAAGCGAGCUACUGGACAUUUACUGACGCUGAGGCUCGAAGGCUAGGGUAGCGAAAGGGAUUAGAUACCCCUGUAGUCCUAGCAGUAAACGGUGCACGCUUGGUGUGAGGGGAAUCGACCCCCCUUGUGCCGGAGCUAACGCGUUAAGCGUGCCGCCUGGGAAGUACGGUCGCAAGACUAAAACUCAAAGAAAUUGACGGGGACCCGCACAAGCGGUGGAGUAUGUGGCUUAAUUCGAUGCAACGCGAAGAACCUUACCAAGGCUUGACAUGGAUUUCUAAGCACGUGAAAGCGUGUGACCCUUCGGGGAACUUCCACAGGUGCUGCAUGGCCGUCGUCAGCUCGUGUCGUGAGAUGUUGGGUUAAGUCCCGCAACGAGCGCAACCCUUGUGAUUAGUUGCCAGCACGUUAAGGUGGGAACUCUAAUCAGACUGCCCAGAUCAACUGGGAGGAAGGUGGGGACGACGUCAGGUCAGUAUGGCCCUUACGCCUUGGGCUGCACACGUACUACAAUGCCCAGUACAAUGAGAACCGAUGCCGCGAGGUGGAGGAAAUCUGUAAAACUGGGCCCAGUUCGGAUUGGAGGCUGCAACUCGCCUCCAUGAAGUUGGAAUCGCUAGUAAUGGCGCAUCAUCUACGGCGCCGUGAAUACGUUCCCGGGCCUUGUACACACCGCCAU
This 1076-nucleotide ribosomal RNA is filed under the name uncultured Luteolibacter sp. RNAcentral describes it as "bacterial SSU rRNA". It matches the Rfam family "Bacterial small subunit ribosomal RNA", at positions 328 to 1396 of the family's 1533-position model. Lineage: Bacteria; Pseudomonadati; Verrucomicrobiota; Verrucomicrobiia; Verrucomicrobiales; Verrucomicrobiaceae. The record is from RNAcentral.